RNAcentral lists this ribosomal RNA (1375 nucleotides) under uncultured bacterium. RNAcentral's name for it is "bacterial SSU rRNA". It matches the Rfam family "Bacterial small subunit ribosomal RNA". The record is from RNAcentral.
GCCCUUGAGUUUGAUCCUGGCUCAGGACGAACGCUGGCGGCGCGCCUAACACAUGCAAGUCGAACGAGCGAGAGAGAGCUUGCUUUCUCAAGCGAGUGGCGAACGGGUGAGUAACGCGUGAGGAACCUGCCUCAAAGAGGGGGACAACAGUUGGAAACGACUGCUAAUACCGCAUAAGCCCACGGCUCGGCAUCGAGCAGAGGGAAAAGGAGCAAUCCGCUUUGAGAUGGCCUCGCGUCCGAUUAGCUAGUUGGUGAGGUAACGGCCCACCAAGGCAACGAUCGGUAGCCGGACUGAGAGGUUGAACGGCCACAUUGGGACUGAGACACGGCCCAGACUCCUACGGGAGGCAGCAGUGGGGAAUAUUGCACAAUGGGGGAAACCCUGAUGCAGCGACGCCGCGUGGAGGAAGAAGGUCUUCGGAUUGUAAACUCCUGUUGUUGGGGAAGAUAAUGACGGUACCCAACAAGGAAGUGACGGCUAACUACGUGCCAGCAGCCGCGGUAAAACGUAGGUCACAAACGUUGUCCGGAAUUACUGGGUGUAAAGGGAGCGCAGGCGGGAAGACAAGUUGGAAGUGAAAUCUAUGGGCUCAACCCAUAAACUGCUUUCAAAACUGUUUUUCUUGAGUAGUGCAGAGGUAGGCGGAAUUCCCGGUGUAGCGGUGGAAUGCGUAGAUAUCGGGAGGAACACCAGUGGCGAAGGCGGCCUACUGGGCACCAACUGACGCUGAGGCUCGAAAGUGUGGGUAGCAAACAGGAUUAGAUACCCUGGUAGUCCACACCGUAAACGAUGAUUACUAGGUGUUGGAGGAUUGACCCCUUCAGUGCCGCAGUUAACACAAUAAGUAAUCCACCUGGGGAGUACGACCGCAAGGUUGAAACUCAAAGGAAUUGACGGGGGCCCGCACAAGCAGUGGAGUAUGUGGUUUAAUUCGACGCAACGCGAAGAACCUUACCAAGUCUUGACAUCCCUUGACAGGCAUAGAGAUAUGUAAUCUUUUCGGAGCAAGGAGACAGGUGGUGCAUGGUUGUCGUCAGCUCGUGUCGUGAGAUGUUGGGUUAAGUCCCGCAACGAGCGCAACCCUUAUGGUCAGUUACUACGCAAGAGGACUCUGGCCAGACUGCCGUUGACAAAACGGAGGAAGGUGGGGAUGACGUCAAAUCAUCAUGCCCUUUAUGACUUGGGCUACACACGUACUACAAUGGCGUUAAACAAAGAGAAGCAAGACCGCGAGGUGGAGCAAAACUCAGAAACAACGUCCCAGUUCGGACUGCAGGCUGCAACUCGCCUGCACGAAGUCGGAAUUGCUAGUAAUCGUGGAUCAGCAUGCCACGGUGAAUACGUUCCCGGGCCUUGCACUCACCGCCCGUCA